GUUUUAAACAGUAGAACCAUACAGUUUCUGUGCGUGUUUCUGAAUGUUUAAAUUAAUAAGACCUCACAUAUUAUGUAGUAUUAUGCCCUGCUUAUUGAUUGACAUUAAUUUUUACAGUUCUUGGACAUGUAAAGCUUUAACUGAACAUAUUUAUUGUAUUUACAGGGACAACGCCAACACCAACGCCAACACCAACACCAACACCAACGCCAACACCAACACCAACGCCAACACCAACACCAACGCCAACACCAACACCAACACCAACACCAACGCCAACACCAACACCAACACCAACGCCAAUAACAACACCAACACCAACAACAAUAACAACACCAACAGCAAUACCAACACCAUCGGCAAUAACAACACCAACGCCAAUAAUAACACCAACAUCAACCCCAGCACCAAUUGUGGACAUCGAUUUAGUUAUUGAUCUGAGUGUCCCAGUCUCCAGUAUAAAACCAAAGGACUUCUUUAACCUCAUCAGGAGCACGCUGAGCAAUUUAAUGUUGCCCUUCAAUAUCACUCAGUCUUUAAAUGUAACCAGCGUGAAUUUCACAACAGGUGAGAACUUAUUGUACACUUGCUUGUUUUCCUUCUGAAUCGGUGUCACUGAUUUACUGUAGUUUAAUCAAAUACUGUAGUAUUGUUGUUUUUGUGAACACUGUGGCUUGAUGUGUUUUCAUAUUUCUUUAGAGUGCUAUCCAGACACUACUAACCAAACACUGUGUCAGUGUGAGGACCAGUUUGCUUGGCCAUGCAGCAAGUGUAAACACUAUGACGCAUGCAGUAAUACCAGCACUGAACCCUGCGGAUGUACUGAUGCGAUUCCAGAUGAUGGGCAGUUCUGUGUACCAAUCACAAGUAAGCAUCAAUGCUCUUUAGCUGUGAAAAGCAAAUCUCCACUGUGUCUGACCAUGUUUAAUAUGAUUAAUAUUGUCUCAUUUUCAUCGGUUAAACACAAAGGUAUGUUUUAAGUGAACUACAGUAGGUUUACUGUUGUUUUAAGGUUUUUGAUGUUUUUCUGUGCAGAAGAAUGAUCACUGUAAUGUCUGUUGCUCCACAGGUGUCAAUAAUUGUAUAAGACCAAUUACAGGUAUGAGAAAUGUCUUAUUUUUAAUAGGUAAAAUAGAAACAAGAUUUGUAUAGUUGCAUAGACAUGUUGUUUAGAAAUUAGUUAACCAGUUAUUAAUCAUAAUUAGUCCCACUGGUUUGUUUUAUACUACCACCACUUUUAACACCGACGCCUUUAACACCAGUGCCUGUGUUUCUGAAUGGUAUGCUUUGAAUUAACACUUGUACUAUAAAGUCCUGCAUAUUGUUUUACAUUUUCUCAUUUACAAACUGUAAAACCAUUUCUGGUUGGUUUUACAAUUUUUAUUAGUUGCUUUGACCUGUUUUGCUUAACUAGGUUCCACUUAUUUUCAUCAACACUAUUUAAGCAGAGCAUCAGGCACAUCAUCAGGCAAAACAGUUACAGUUUUUAUUGGUUGCUUUGACGUAGCCGUCCUGUGAAACAACACAUUCGCACAACAGUUCACACACAGAUCUAAACAGCUGCUCUUUGCCUUCAAACAAUAUAAUCUGCAAUGAAGCACAGCACCUCUACACACCCUCCAGCUUGUUUUGUUUAGGUUUUUUUGUUUUGUUUUGUUUUUUACUGUUUUAUUCCACUGCACUAAUUAUCAUAUUAGCACAGAUUAGGCCAGAAUUAUUCAUUUCUUCUGAAUUUCUAAUUCUAGAACCACCUACUACACCAACAAAACCACCAACAAAACCACCAACAACAACCACAACGGCACCACCAACAACAACCACAACGGCACCACCAACAACAACCACAACAACAACAGGAACACCACCAGAAGGUAUGAGAAAAUUUAAAAUUUACAGUAUUAUUUUAAGUGUCAUAACAACCUGUAUUUUACCAUUUACCACUGUAGCAACAGAAACGAAAUACAGUAAAGAAGAGAUUUAAGUUGUCAGCACCUUUAUAGCCUUAACAAUAGGGUGUGUAUGUUAUCUGCACAAAUAGUGAUGCUGUAGGUCUAUGAAAGAUACAUUUUAAAAUGAUUAUUGGAUACACUAAAAGUAAGUAAGCUAAGUAAGAUGAUGGUUCAAUGGUAUUUAAAUGACAAACAAUUUACAAAAUACUUUUAUCCGUUUUAACAAGGUUUGUGUUGUGUGUAAAAUCAGGCCUAUAACUUUAUUUAUUAAAAUCCAAGUGCAAGUGAAUAGAGGCCUAAGUAAACAUUUUUGUGUCAUUAAUCUGAAAACACCAAACCCACAUAGACGUGCAGUAAAAGACAUGUAUUGCAUUAACUAGUGAAGCAAAAAAUUAAACAAACUGACUUAAUGAUAGAACAAGUGAGGAUACAAAAGACAGUAUACCACUGUUUAGGCUUCAGUAUACUCAAAUUAAACAUGUUUUAUUGAUUCCUGAAAUUAAAUAAAAACAAUCCAAUAGCAGGACA
RNAcentral lists this long non-coding RNA (2477 nucleotides) under Betta splendens (Siamese fighting fish). RNAcentral's name for it is "lncRNA (ENSBSLG00000007076.1)". Lineage: Eukaryota; Metazoa; Chordata; Actinopteri; Anabantiformes; Osphronemidae. The record is from RNAcentral.